AUGAAUGAAAUUGAGUGGGGUUGUAGCUGGCCUUUCACCGGGCAUGUGCACACCUCAUUCGACCACCUUCUACACCCCUGUGCACUUCUCAUGAGUUGGGCCGCGUCUGAAACACGACAAAGUCCGGCUCGUGUGUUUUAUACAAACGAAUCAUGUUACAGAAUGUCACUACCAUGCUUUGAAGCAUAUAAUA
RNAcentral lists this unclassified non-coding RNA (193 nucleotides) under uncultured fungus. RNAcentral describes it as "sequence contains ITS1, 5.8S rRNA gene". RNAcentral also lists the same sequence under 1 other name. Lineage: Eukaryota; Fungi. The record is from RNAcentral.